CAAAUUAGAUCUUGGUAAAGAGUUUCAGUUACAUUGAAAAGAGUUGUACUAGUAAGUACAAUAAUUUGA
RNAcentral lists this transfer RNA (69 nucleotides) under Pseudachorutes palmiensis. RNAcentral's name for it is "tRNA-Val". Lineage: Eukaryota; Metazoa; Arthropoda; Collembola; Poduromorpha; Neanuridae. The record is from RNAcentral.